GACGAACGCUGGCGGCGUGCUUAACACAUGCAAGUCGAGCGGUAAGGCCCUUUCGGGGGUACGACGAGCGGCGAACGGGUGAGUAACACGUGGGUGACCUGCCCUCAGCUCUGGGAUAAGCCUGGGAAACUGGGUCUAAUACUGGAUAUGACUCCACGGUGCAUGUCGUGGGGUGGAAAGCCUUGUGCGGCUGAGGAUGGGCCCGCGGCCUAUCAGCUUGUUGGUGGGGUGANGGCCUACCAAGGCGACGACGGGUAGCCGGCCUGAGAGGGCGACCGGCCACACUGGGACUGAGACACGGCCCAGACUCCUACGGGAGGCAGCAGUGGGGGAAUCUUGCGCAAUGGGCGAAAGCCUGACGCAGCGACGCCGCGUGAGGGAUGACGGCCU
Molecule: ribosomal RNA, 390 nt
Filed under: uncultured bacterium
Lineage: Bacteria
Description: bacterial SSU rRNA
Rfam family: Bacterial small subunit ribosomal RNA
Source: RNAcentral